CUACGGGUGGCACCAGUGGGGAAUAUUGCACAAUGGGGGAAACCCUGAUGCAGCAACGCCGCGUGGAGGAUGACACAUUUCGGUGCGUAAACUCCUUUUAUAUGUCAAGAUAAUGACGGUAGCAUAUGAAUAAGCUCCGGCUAACUCCGUGCCAGCAGCCGCGGUAAUACGGGGGGAGCAAGCGUUACUCGGAAUCACUGGGCGUAAAGAGCAUGUAGGCUGGUAGAAAAGUUGGAAGUGAAAUCCUGUGGCUUAACCAUAGAACUGCUUCCAAAACUCUCUACCUAGAAUAUGGGAGAGGUAGAUGGAAUUUCUGGUGUAGGGGUAAAAUCCGUAGAGAUCAGAAGGAAUACCGAUUGCGAAGGCGAUCUACUGGAACAUUAUUGACGCUGAGAUGCGAAAGCGUGGGGAGCAAACAGGAUUAGAUACCCCCGUAGUC
RNAcentral lists this ribosomal RNA (439 nucleotides) under uncultured bacterium. RNAcentral's name for it is "partial 16S ribosomal RNA". It matches the Rfam family "Bacterial small subunit ribosomal RNA", at positions 339 to 795 of the family's 1533-position model. The record is from RNAcentral.